CUACGGAGGGUGCAAGCGUUAAUCGGAAUUACUGGGCGUAAAGCGCGCGUAGGCGGCUGAUUAAGUCGGAUGUGAAAUCCCUGGGCUCAACCUAGGAACUGCAUCCGAUACUGGUCAGCUAGAGUUUUGGAGAGGUAAGUGGAAUUUCCGGUGUAGCGGUGAAAUGCAUAGAGAUCGGAAGGAACACCAGUGGCGAAGGCGACUUACUGGCCAAAAACUGACGCUGAGGUGCGAAAGCGUGGGUAGCGAACAGGAUUAGAAACCCUAGUAGUCC
RNAcentral lists this ribosomal RNA (274 nucleotides) under uncultured bacterium. RNAcentral describes it as "partial 16S ribosomal RNA". It matches the Rfam family "Bacterial small subunit ribosomal RNA", at positions 523 to 796 of the family's 1533-position model. The record is from RNAcentral.